Long non-coding RNA from Saccostrea cuccullata (small rock oyster), 1952 nucleotides. RefSeq lists it as uncharacterized. The transcript is spliced from 4 exons. The record is from RefSeq and is a predicted model, not a curated record. Lineage: Eukaryota; Metazoa; Mollusca; Bivalvia; Ostreida; Ostreidae.
AAUAAACAAACCGCAUUUUCUUGGUGUGGCACGAAAUAACUUUACACCGUCCUGUAUCAUCCUCUCGCGAGACUUCAUCGAGAAGCGCAAAAUAGGAGUUCAAGGAGCGGCAAUGUUUAGAGAGACUGGUUAAGUGUAAUGAAAUGCACAACUUACGUCCAAGAUUGACUCUAAUUCUUCACAUAAACCAUGUUCUCUUUCCCAAAAAUCUUGGUUUCGCUAGGAGUGCAGUAAAGGGAACGUUGGAAGAAGUGUAGAUAUCAUGGCCACAGGCCAGUGGGCCAGAACCUUGAAGCCUGGCAAGGAUUAUGAGACUGGAAACUCCCAUUGAGACUACCAAAUGAAGAGAAAGUUUCAGACUGUUUAACUCGGACUAAGGGAAAAGAAGCAAAUUACAACAAGGAGAAUAUUGCCGAGAAAGCAAAGACAAGUGAAAAGUUGAGUGAAGAAAAAGCAAACAAGGCUUCACGAUCUGCAACUAGGCCACUGGCGAUGAAGAAGAAAAAUGUACAUCUAAAGAAGAUACAUCAGUGAUCAACUAAAGCUGAGCGACUUAUAUUGGAUUGACGAGGUGCAGGGGGGAUAUUAAUUUGGGUCUGUUUAUCUUUCUGUUUGUCAAUCUGUCUGUCUGUAACACUUCGUUCUCUUAACAUUUCCAAAAAGCCAUCAGAUAUUGCAAUGACAUUUUAUAUUAUAAAUAUUUGACGAUCCCACUGCAGAACAUGAUUAAUCAUCAAUACAAAUUUAAUAUUGUUUAUAAAUUAAAUAUUACCCAUAUAUAUUUUGAAAUGAAAUGGUCAGAGGUCAAGGCCUCUUUCGGGGGCACAUAUUGUUUUUGCCUGUCUGUUUAUCUGUCUAUUGCCAAUUUACCUUUUGCCAUAACUUUUGAAUUAUGAGAGAUAUAGAUACUUCAUAUUGGGUAUGCUUACUCCACUUUCAAAUGAGACCAAGACCAAUGACCUUGACUGUCAUCGUUAUGCUAAAAUAAAGCCUUAUUGAAUCUUUUACUUUUGAACCAUAAAAGGUAGAUAUUUUAUAUUGAGUAUCCAUACUCCACUAAUUAAGUUCUUUCAAAUUACAUCAAGGUUAAUGACCUUGUGACUUUGACCUAUAUGUUUUUGUUUUUGUUAUAUGUUUUUUCUUUUUCAAACUUUGUUGCCACCAGGUGCAUACUGUUUUUGUUUUUUUUUAUGGGGGGGGGGGUGUUAUGAAUUAGUUCUGUUUGGUAUCUGAAUCUUUUAUUGUACAGAAUUCUUCAGAAGUGACGAACUCUGAGGGCCUCACCCCUACUCUCUACACUAGGUUGUUGAUUUAAAUAUUUUUUUAUUAUUAUUAAUAUUUGUCAUUGUACAUGUAUAUCAUAAAUAUUCUAUGAGAGCUGCUUCAGAAUGUAUCAACAUAGUUUGAAAAUAAGACGAUCUGUUUCCCCCUUGUGUGUAAAUCAUGAUGUUGAAUCAUAACUGCACUAUAAUGUUACAGCAGUAAAAUUGUAAAGAAUUUGUUGUAUCAGAUACCAUCAGCAUUCUUUAAAAAUUAUUUUAUGUAUUAUUUUUUCUGUGUGGCCAUGAAUUUUUAUAAUGCAUACAUUCAUUAAAUUUUUUUCAGAGAUCUUAUAAUUCUGCUUUGUUGCUAUGUAUGAUUUUUUUAAAAAAAAAAGAUGUCCUAGGAGGCUAGGAUAUCCUAGGAAAUCCUAGGAAUUCCUGAUUUCCUAGGACAUUUUAAGUGUUGGGAUUUUCCUGGGAUAUCCUGGGAAGUCUUGGUGUUUUGAUUCCUGGGAUUUUUCUAGAACCCCUGAAUUGGGACUGUCCAAGGAAAUCCCAGGAAUUCCUGUUCCAAAAACAUCUCAGGAAAUCUUAGGAAUAAUCCUAGGAUUUUUUCAAGAUAUCCGAGGAAUAAAUCUUAAGAUUGUCUUAGGAUUUCUUAGGACAUCUCAGGAAUAUUCUGCAAGGGUC